GUCAGUGAGCACAUACUCACUAUGUCUGGGUUACAUAACCGCUUGACUCAGCUGGGAGUUAAUCUCCCGGAUGACACGGUCAUUGACAGAAUCCUUCAGUCGCUUCCACCGAGCUACAAGAGCUUUGUGAUGAACUUCAAUAUGCAGGGGAUGGAAAAGACCAUUCCUGAAGUAUUUGCAAUGCUGAAAUCAGCAGAGGUAAAAGUCAAAAAGGAACAUCAAGUGUUGAUGGUGAAUAAAACCACUAAGUUUAAGAAGGGCAAGGGUAAGAAGAACUUCAAGAAGAACGGCAAGGGAGUUGCCGCGCCCGGUAAGCAAGCUGCCGGGAAGAAGCCAAAAAAUGGACCCAAGCCCGAGACUGAGUGUUUUUAUUGCAAGGGAAGUGGUCACUGGAAGCGGAACUGCCCCAAAUACUUAGCGGACAAGAAGGCCGGCAUCACGAAA
RNAcentral lists this ribosomal RNA (444 nucleotides) under Triticum aestivum (bread wheat). RNAcentral's name for it is "partial small subunit ribosomal RNA". The record is from RNAcentral. Lineage: Eukaryota; Viridiplantae; Streptophyta; Magnoliopsida; Poales; Poaceae.